Molecule: ribosomal RNA, 402 nt
Filed under: Actinomycetes bacterium
Lineage: Bacteria; Bacillati; Actinomycetota; Actinomycetes
Description: Actinobacteria bacterium partial 16S ribosomal RNA
Rfam family: Bacterial small subunit ribosomal RNA
Source: RNAcentral
UGGGGAAUUUUGCACAAUGGGGGAAACCCUGAUGCAGCGACGCCGCGUGAUUUAGAAGGCCUUCGGGUUGUAAAAAUCUUUUGUAUGGGAAGAAAAUGACAGUACCAUACGAAUAAGGACCGGCUAAUUACGUGCCAGCAGGCGCGGUAAUACGUAAGGUCCGAGCGUUGUCCGGAAUCAUUGGGCGUAAAGGGUACGUAGGCGGAUAAGCAAGUUAGAAGUGAAAUCCUAUAGCUCAACUAUAGUAAGCUUUUAAAACUGCUCAUCUUGAGGUAUGGAAGGGAAAGUGGAAUUCCUAGUGUAGCGGUGAAAUCCGCAGAUAUUAGGAGGAAUACCGGUGGCAAAGGCGACUUUCUGGCUAUACACUGACGCUGAGGUACGAAAGCGUGGGUAGCAAACAGG